AUUGAACGCUGGCGGCAUGCUUUACACAUGCAAGUCGAACGGCAGCGCGGGCUUCGGCCUGGCGGCGAGUGGCGAACGGGUGAGUAAUACAUCGGAACGUGCCCAGUAGUGGGGGAUAGCUCGGCGAAAGCCGGAUUAAUACCGCAUACGACCUGAGGGUGAAAGCGGGGGAUCUUCGGACCUCGCGCUAUUGGAGCGGCCGAUGGCAGAUUAGCUAGUUGGUGGGGUAAAGGCCUACCAAGGCGACGAUCUGUAGCUGGUCUGAGAGGACGACCAGCCACACUGGGACUGAGACACGGCCCAGACUCCUACGGGAGGCAGCAGUGGGGAAUUUUGGACAAUGGGCGAAAGCCUGAUCCAGCAAUGCCGCGUGUGUGAUGAAGGCCUUCGGGUUGUAAAGCACUUUUGGCGGGAACGAAAAGGUCUGUGCCAAUACCACGGUUCGAUGACGGUACCCGCAGAAUAAGCACCGGCUAACUACGUG
This 484-nucleotide ribosomal RNA is filed under the name uncultured bacterium. RNAcentral's name for it is "partial 16S ribosomal RNA". It matches the Rfam family "Bacterial small subunit ribosomal RNA", at positions 29 to 507 of the family's 1533-position model. The record is from RNAcentral.